Molecule: non-coding RNA, 146 nt
Organism: Brassica rapa (field mustard)
Lineage: Eukaryota; Viridiplantae; Streptophyta; Magnoliopsida; Brassicales; Brassicaceae
Source: Rfam
GAGGCAACUUUUUGCCGAGUGAAUCGAAUAUCGAUCUCUCUCUUUUUCCCAGUUGCCUAAAUCAUGUUAUGGCCGCCUGAGAGGAAUUCGCUGAUUGGUUAUGUAAUUUCAAAGUAUCCAAUCUUUUCCUCUUUGCUGCUACAUUU